GUAUUGCCAAAAACAGGAAAGGCUCACGACUUCUGAAAAAUCUCGCAAAAACACAUCAACAGCUUGUCAAUUGGUUACAGGUCAAGGACAUCCUCCUCCCGCAGGAUCACGAAGUCGACACUUUAAAAGGCAUGUAGACCGCAUACUCUGCAUCUCAAAAUUAAUUGACACAGCCAGGCUCCUGAAUUUGGAUUGAUGUUUUUGCCAAGCUUGCUUCCAGCUCAUUUAACUCAUCCAUGUCCAGUUCAUCAUCAUCAUCAUCAUCAUCAUCAUCUUCUUCUUCUUCUUCAACAUUGCCCACGGAUGUUGCUGAGGUGCUUGGUCCAUCAGUGGAAGAUUUAACAUUGGCCUUCUCUUCAGGAGCAUCAGGUCGUUCCUCUCUUUGAUAUUCCUCGUAUGCCUCAGCAUCAUCCACAAAAAUACUAGCAUCUGAUAAAAAUAGCUCACGGCCACUCAUACGAUCAUUCUUAGCUCUCUCUGCCCUCUGUGCAGCCAAACCAGCAUCUCUCUCUUCUAUCUUCUUUUGCUUCCACUUCAUGAAUAACUCAGGAGUCAUAGGGGUUGAAGUAGUUACUUUGGCACGCUCAUUUUCAAUCUCCUCCUCAAUAGGCAUCUUUUCACUCUCUUCCUCUAACAGAGCCUUCAUCUGAGAUUUUAAUACAUAUCCUGGAGGAAGAGCAUGCCGAUAAU
This 690-nucleotide unclassified non-coding RNA is filed under the name Hevea brasiliensis (rubber tree). The record is from RNAcentral. Lineage: Eukaryota; Viridiplantae; Streptophyta; Magnoliopsida; Malpighiales; Euphorbiaceae.